RNAcentral lists this ribosomal RNA (728 nucleotides) under Bacillus cereus. RNAcentral's name for it is "bacterial SSU rRNA". It matches the Rfam family "Bacterial small subunit ribosomal RNA", at positions 52 to 760 of the family's 1533-position model. The record is from RNAcentral. Lineage: Bacteria; Bacillati; Bacillota; Bacilli; Caryophanales; Bacillaceae.
UACAUGCAAGUCGAGCGAAUGGAUUAAGAGCUUGCUCUUAUGAAGUUAGCGGCGGACGGGUGAGUAACACGUGGGUAACCUGCCCAUAAGACUGGGAUAACUCCGGGAAACCGGGGCUAAUACCGGAUAACAUUUUGAACCGCAUGGUUCGAAAUUGAAAGGCGGCUUCGGCUGUCACUUAUGGAUGGACCCGCGUCGCAUUAGCUAGUUGGUGAGGUAACGGCUCACCAAGGCAACGAUGCGUAGCCGACCUGAGAGGGUGAUCGGCCACACUGGGACUGAGACACGGCCCAGACUCCUACGGGAGGCAGCAGUAGGGAAUCUUCCGCAAUGGACGAAAGUCUGACGGAGCAACGCCGCGUGAGUGAUGAAGGCUUUCGGGUCGUAAAACUCUGUUGUUAGGGAAGAACAAGUGCUAGUUGAAUAAGCUGGCACCUUGACGGUACCUAACCAGAAAGCCACGGCUAACUACGUGCCAGCAGCCGCGGUAAUACGUAGGUGGCAAGCGUUAUCCGGAAUUAUUGGGCGUAAAGCGCGCGCAGGUGGUUUCUUAAGUCUGAUGUGAAAGCCCACGGCUCAACCGUGGAGGGUCAUUGGAAACUGGGAGACUUGAGUGCAGAAGAGGAAAGUGGAAUUCCAUGUGUAGCGGUGAAAUGCGUAGAGAUAUGGAGGAACACCAGUGGCGAAGGCGACUUUCUGGUCUGUAACUGACACUGAGGCGCGAAAGC